GACGAACGCUGGCGGCGUGCCUAAUACAUGCAAGUAGAACGCACAGUUUAUACCGUAGCUUGCUACACCAUAGACUGUGAGUUGCGAACGGGUGAGUAACGCGUAGGUAACCUGCCUGGCAGCGGGGGAUAACUAUUGGAAACGAUAGCUAAUACCGCAUAAUAUUAAUUAUUGCAUGAUAAUUAAUUGAAAGGUGCAAUUGCACCACUACCAGAUGGACCUGCGUUGUAUUAGCUAGUAGGUGAGGUAACGGCUCACCUAGGCGACGAUACAUAGCCGACCUGAGAGGGUGAUCGGCCACACUGGGACUGAGACACGGCCCAGACUCCUACGGGAGGCAGCAGUAGGGAAUCUUCGGCAAUGGACGAAAGUCUGACCGAGCAACGCCGCGUGAGUGAAGAAGGUUUUCGGAUCGUAAAGCUCUGUUGUAAGAGAAGAACGGGUGUGAGAGUGGAAAGUUCACACUGUGACGGUAUCUUAACAGAAAGGGACGGCUAACUACGUG
RNAcentral lists this ribosomal RNA (505 nucleotides) under uncultured bacterium. RNAcentral's name for it is "partial 16S ribosomal RNA". It matches the Rfam family "Bacterial small subunit ribosomal RNA", at positions 28 to 507 of the family's 1533-position model. The record is from RNAcentral.